Molecule: ribosomal RNA, 840 nt
Filed under: uncultured archaeon
Lineage: Archaea
Description: bacterial SSU rRNA
Rfam family: Archaeal small subunit ribosomal RNA
Source: RNAcentral
AUUGUAGCAAUACAAGGCAGACGGCUCAUUAACGCGUAGUCAACCUACCCUAUGGACGGGGAUAACCUCGGGAAACUGAGAAUAAUACCAGAUAGAACAUUAUACCUGGAAUGGUUUAUGUUUCAAAUAAUUUAUUGCCGUAGGAUGGGACUGCGGCCUAUCAGUUUGUUGGUGAGGUAAUGGCCCACCAAGACUAUUACAGGUACGGGCUCUGAGAGGAGUAGCCCGGAGAUGGGUACUGAGACACGGACCCAGGCCCUAUGGGGCGCAGCAGGCGAGAAAACUUUGCAAUGUGCGAAAGCACGACAAGGUUAAUCCGAGUGGUUUCUGCUAAAGGAACCUUUUGUUAGUCAUAGAACCACUAAUGAAUAAGGGGUGGGCAAGUUCUGGUGUCAGCCGCCGCGGUAAAACCAGCACCUCAAGUGGUCAGGAUGAUUAUUGGGCCUAAAGCAUCCGUAGCCGGCUUUGUUAGUUUUCGGUUAAAUCCAUACGCUCAACGUAUGGGCUGCCGGGAAUACUGCAAGGCUAGGGAGUGGGAGAGGUAGACGGUACUCGGUAGGAAGGGGUAAAAUCCUUUGAUCUAUUGAUGACCACCUGUGGCGAAGGCGGUCUACCAGAACACGUCCGACGGUGAGGGAUGAAAGCUGGGGGAGCAAACCGGAUUAGAUACCCGGGUAGUCCCAGCUGUAAACUAUGCAAACUCGGUGAUGCAUUGGCUUGAUGCCAAUGCAGUGCCGCAGGGAAGCCGUUAAGUUUGCCGCCUGGGAAGUACGUACGCAAGUAUGAAACUUAAAGGAAUUGGCGGGGGAGCACCACAAGGGGUGAAGCCUGCGGUUCAAU